Molecule: unclassified non-coding RNA, 337 nt
Filed under: soil metagenome
Description: partial contains 5.8S ribosomal RNA, internal transcribed spacer 2, and large subunit ribosomal RNA
Rfam family: 5.8S ribosomal RNA (bases 1-120)
Source: RNAcentral
GAUGAAGAACGUAGCGAAAUGCGAUAAGUUGUGUGAAUUGCAGAAUUCAGUGAAUCAUCGAAUCUUUGAACGCACAUUGCGCCCCUUGGUAUUCCAUGGGGCAUGCCUGUUCGAGCGUCAUUUGUACCUUCAAGCUCUGCUUGGUGUUGGGUGUUUGUCUCGCCUCUGCGUGUAGACUCGCCUCAAAACAAUUGGCAGCCGGCGUAUUGAUUUCGGAGCGCAGUACAUCUCGCGCUUUGCACUCAUAACGACGACGUCCAAAAGUACAUUUUUACACUCUUGACCUCGGAUCAGGUAGGGAUACCCGCUGAACUUAAGCAUAUCAAUAAGCGGAGGA